GUUCUUAAUUUGGCAGCACAUAUAUUAAAAUCAGAAUGAUACAGAGAAGAUUAUCUUGAAAGUGUGUUUGGAUUCUACUGUGAUGUUCUUCUUAGGACAAAGUUGACAGUGCUUCAGGCCCUUUCUUUGCAGCAGAACUGGAUGGCAAUUUCUAGGCCAAAGUGCCAUUCACAAUACAAGCCUCACAGAGAUGUGCUGCACAAAUCGGCAGUACAGAGAGGCAGACAUUGAAAUGACUAUUGUUUCACAUUAUUACUGGAGUGGAUGUGAGGGCGAUCUUCUUAGGACAAAGGUGACAGCUCUCCAGGCCCUUUCUUUGCAGCAGAAGUGGAUGGCACUUUAUGAGCAUGGGCCCUGAGAAAGAAUGACAUGCAAUUUCAUGAACCAUUCCAUAAUUUG
Molecule: small nuclear RNA, 399 nt
Organism: Heterocephalus glaber (naked mole-rat)
Lineage: Eukaryota; Metazoa; Chordata; Mammalia; Rodentia; Bathyergidae
Source: Ensembl